AGAACGAACGCUGGCGGCAGGCUUAACACAUGCAAGUCGAGCGCCGUAGCAAUACGGAGCGGCAGACGGGUGAGUAACGCGUGGGAACAUACCCUCCGGUACGGAAUAACUCAGGGAAACUUGUGCUAAUACCGUAUACGGCUGGAAGGCGAAAGAUUUAUCGCCGGAGGAUUGGCCCGCGUCCGAUUAGCUAGUUGGUGAGGUAAUGGCCCACCAAGGCGACGAUCGGUAGCUGGUCUGAGAGGAUGAUCAGCCACAUUGGGACUGAGACACGGCCCAAACUCCUACGGGAGGCAGCAGUGGGGAAUAUUGGACAAUGGGCGAAAGCCUGAUCCAGCCAUGCCGCGUGAGUGAUGAAGGCCUUAGGGUUGUAAAGCUCUUUCACCCACGACGAUAAUGACGGUAGUGGGAGAAGAAGCCCCGGCUAACUUCGCGCCAGCAGCCGC
RNAcentral lists this ribosomal RNA (446 nucleotides) under uncultured bacterium. Its description in RNAcentral is "SSU rRNA". It matches the Rfam family "Bacterial small subunit ribosomal RNA", at positions 26 to 518 of the family's 1533-position model. The record is from RNAcentral.